GACGAACGCUGGCGGCGUGCUUAACACAUGCAAGUCGAACGGAAUGUCCCUGCUUUUGUUGGGUGCUCGAGUGGCGAACGGUUGAGUAACACGUGAGUAACCUGCCCUUGACUUUGGGAUAACUUCACGAAACUGGUGCUAAUACCGGAUCGGUGCUCCUGCUGCAUGGUGGGGGUUGUAACGUUUCGGCGGUUGGGGAUGGACUCGCGUCUUAUCAGCUUGUUGGUGGGGUAGUGGCUUACCAAGGCUUUGACUGGUAGCCGGCCUGGGAGGGGGAACGGCCACAAUGGGAAUGAGGACAGGGCCAAAACCCUAAGGGAGGGAGGAGGGGAGGAUAAUGCAAAAAGGGCGGAAGCCUGAUGCAGCAACGCCGGGUGCGGGAUGAAGGCCUUCGGGUUGGAAACCGCUUUUGACAGUGAAGAAGCGUGAGUGACGGUAAUGGGUAAAGAAGCACCGGCUAACUACGUG
RNAcentral lists this ribosomal RNA (468 nucleotides) under uncultured bacterium. Its description in RNAcentral is "partial 16S ribosomal RNA". It matches the Rfam family "Bacterial small subunit ribosomal RNA", at positions 28 to 507 of the family's 1533-position model. The record is from RNAcentral.